This 438-nucleotide ribosomal RNA is filed under the name uncultured bacterium. RNAcentral's name for it is "bacterial SSU rRNA". It matches the Rfam family "Bacterial small subunit ribosomal RNA", at positions 8 to 452 of the family's 1533-position model. The record is from RNAcentral.
AGAGUUUGAUCCUGGCUCAGGACGAACGCUGGCGGCGUGCCUAGUACAUGCAAGUCGAGCGGACCUUUCGGGGUCAGCGGCGGACGGGUGGGUAACACGUGGGCAAUCUGCCCGAUACUCUGGGAUAACGCUUGGAAACGAGUGCUAAUACCGGAUGGUCUUCUUGGUCGCAUGGCCGAGAAGGAAAAGACGCGUUCGCGUCGGUGUCGGAUGAGCCCGCGGCGCAUUAGCUAGUUGGUGAGGUAACGGCCCACCAAGGCGACGAUGCGUAGCCGACCUGAGAGGGUGACCGGCCACACUGGGACUGAGACACGGCCCAGACUCCUACGGGAGGCAGCAGUAGGGAAUCUUCCACAAUGGGCGAAAGCCUGAUGGAGCAACGCCGCGUGAGUGAUGAAGGCCUUCGGGUUGUAAAACUCUGUCAUUCGGGACGAACCC